This 1247-nucleotide ribosomal RNA is filed under the name 'Catharanthus roseus' phytoplasma. Its description in RNAcentral is "bacterial SSU rRNA". It matches the Rfam family "Bacterial small subunit ribosomal RNA", at positions 152 to 1399 of the family's 1533-position model. The record is from RNAcentral. Lineage: Bacteria; Bacillati; Mycoplasmatota; Mollicutes; Acholeplasmatales; Acholeplasmataceae.
GAAAACGACUGCUAAGACUGGAUAGGAGACAAGAAGGCAUCUUCUUAUUUUUAAAAGACCUAGCAAUAGGUAUGCUUAGGGAGGAGCUUGCGUCACAUUAGUUAGUUGGUGGGGUAAAGGCCUACCAAGACUAUGAUGUGUAGCCGGGCUGAGAGGUUGAACGGCCACAUUGGGACUGAGACACGGCCCAAACUCCUACGGGAGGCAGCAGUAGGGAAUUUUCGGCAAUGGAGGAAACUCUGACCGAGCAACGCCGCGUGAACGAUGAAGUAUUUCGGUAUGUAAAGUUCUUUUAUUAGGGAAGAAUAAAUGAUGGAAAAAUCAUUCUGACUGUACCUAAUGAAUAAGCCCCGGCUAACUAUGUGCCAGCAGCCGCGGUAAUACAUAGGGGGCAAGCGUUAUCCGGAAUUAUUGGGCGUAAAGGGUGCGUAGGCGGUUAAAUAAGUUUAUGGUCUAAGUGCAAUGCUCAACAUUGUGAUGCUAUAAAAACUGUUUAGCUAGAGUAAGAUAGAGGCAAGUGGAAUUCCAUGUGUAGUGGUAAAAUGCGUAAAUAUAUGGAGGAACACCAGUAGCGAAGGCGGCUUGCUGGGUCUUUACUGACGCUGAGGCACGAAAGCGUGGGGAGCAAACAGGAUUAGAUACCCUGGUAGUCCACGCUGUAAACGAUGAGUACUAAACGUUGGGUAAAACCAGUGUUGAAGUUAACACAUUAAGUACUCCGCCUGAGUAGUACGUACGCAAGUAUGAAACUUAAAGGAAUUGACGGGACUCCGCACAAGCGGUGGAUCAUGUUGUUUAAUUCGAAGGUACCCGAAAAACCUCACCAGGUCUUGACAUGCUUCUGCAAAGUUGUAGAAAUACAGUGGAGGUUAUCAGUUGCACAGGUGGUGCAUGGUUGUCGUCAGCUCGUGUCGUGAGAUGUUGGGUUAAGUCCCGCAACGAGCGCAACCCUUAUUGUUAGUUACCAGCACGUAAUGGUGGGGACUUUAGCAAGACUGCCAGUGAUAAAUUGGAGGAAGGUGGGGACGACGUCAAAUCAUCAUGCCCCUUACGACCUGGGCUACAAACGUGAUACAAUGGCUGUUACAAAGGGUAGCUGAAACGCAAGUUUUUGGCGAAUCUCAAAAAAACAGUCUCAGUUCGGAUUGAAGUCUGCAACUCGACUUCAUGAAGUUGGAAUCGCUAGUAAUCGCGAAUCAGCAUGUCGCGGUGAAUACGUUCACGGGGUUUGUACACACCGCCCGUCA